This 210-nucleotide ribosomal RNA is filed under the name Salmonella enterica subsp. enterica. RNAcentral's name for it is "partial 16S ribosomal RNA". It matches the Rfam family "Bacterial small subunit ribosomal RNA", at positions 338 to 540 of the family's 1533-position model. The record is from RNAcentral. Lineage: Bacteria; Pseudomonadati; Pseudomonadota; Gammaproteobacteria; Enterobacterales; Enterobacteriaceae.
CCUACGGGAGGCAGCAGUAGGGAAUCUUCGGCAAUGGGCGAAAGCCUGACCGAGCAACGCCGCGUGAAUGAAGAAGCCCUUCGGGUUGUAAAAUUCUGUUAUAAGGGAAGAAAGGUGAUAGGAGGAAAUGACUAUCAAUUGACGGUACCUUAUGAGAAAGCCACGGCUAACUACGUGCCAGCAGCCGCGGUAAUACGUAGGUGGCAAGCG